RNAcentral lists this ribosomal RNA (468 nucleotides) under uncultured bacterium. RNAcentral describes it as "partial 16S ribosomal RNA". It matches the Rfam family "Bacterial small subunit ribosomal RNA", at positions 28 to 507 of the family's 1533-position model. The record is from RNAcentral.
GACGAACGCUGGCGGCGUGCUUAACACAUGCAAGUCGAACGGAAAGGCCCUGCUUUUGUGGGGUGCUCGAUUGCCGAAGGGGUGAGUAACACGUGAGUAACCUGCCCUUGACUUUGGGAUAACUUCACGAAACUGGGGCUAAUACCGGAUAGGAGCUCCUGCUGCACGGUGGGGGUUGGAAAGUUUCGGCGUUUGGGGAUGGACUCGCGGCUUAUCAGCUUGUUGGUGGGGUAGUGGCUUACCAAGCCUUUGACGGGUAGGCGGCCUGAGAGGGUGACCGGGCACAUUGGGACUGAGAGAGGGCCCAGACUCCUACGGGAGGCAGCGGUGGGGAGUAUUGCACAAUGGGCGGAAGCCUGAUGCGGCGACGCCGCGUGCGGGAUGACGGCCUUCGGGUUGUAAACCGCUUUCGCCUGUGACGAAGCGUGAGUGACGGUAAUGGAUAAAGAAGCACCGGCUAACUACGUG